GACGAACGCUGGCGGCGUGCUUAACACAUGCAAGUCGAGCGAUGAAGUUCCUUCGGGAAUGGAUUAGCGGCGGACGGGUGAGUAACACGUGGGUAACCUGCCUCAUAGAGGGGAAUAGCCUUCCGAGAGGAAGAUUAAUACCGCAUAAGAUUGUAGUGCCGCAUGGCAUAGCAAUUAAAGGAGCAAUCCGCUAUGAGAUGGACCCGCGUCGCAUUAGCUAGUUGGUGAGGUAACGGCUCACCAAGGCGACGAUGCGUAGCCGACCUGAGAGGGUUAGCGGCAACAUUGGGACUGAGACACGGCCCCGACUCCUACGGGAGGCAGCAGUGGGGAAUAUUGCACAAUGGGGGAAACCCUGAUGCAGCAACGCCGCGUGAGUGAUGACGGUCUUCGGAUUGUAAAACUCUGUCUUCAGGGACGAUAAUGACGGUACCUGGGGAGGAAGCCACGGCUAACUACGUGCCAGCCGCCGCCGUAA
RNAcentral lists this ribosomal RNA (478 nucleotides) under uncultured bacterium. RNAcentral describes it as "partial 16S ribosomal RNA". It matches the Rfam family "Bacterial small subunit ribosomal RNA", at positions 28 to 523 of the family's 1533-position model. The record is from RNAcentral.